This 81-nucleotide signal recognition particle RNA is filed under the name Thioclava dalianensis. RNAcentral describes it as "Bacterial small signal recognition particle RNA". The stretch from base 1 to 70 matches the Rfam family "Bacterial small signal recognition particle RNA", at positions 12 to 81 of the family's 97-position model. Rfam says of the family: The signal recognition particle (SRP) is a universally conserved ribonucleoprotein involved in the co-translational targeting of proteins to membranes. Archaeal SRP consists of a 7S RNA and homologues of the eukaryotic SRP19 and SRP54 proteins. In most bacteria, the SRP consists of a 4.5S RNA and the Ffh protein (a homologue of the eukaryotic SRP54 protein). Lineage: Bacteria; Pseudomonadati; Pseudomonadota; Alphaproteobacteria; Rhodobacterales; Paracoccaceae. RNAcentral also lists the same sequence under 2 other names. The record is from RNAcentral.
GCGGGCGAGCGCCUCGCCAACCCGGUCAGGUCCGGAAGGAAGCAGCCGCAACGAGCCCCGCUUGGGUCGCUGUCCAGCCUC